AACGAACGCUGGCGGCAUGCCUAACACAUGCAAGUCGAACGAGACCUUCGGGUCUAGUGGCGCACGGGUGCGUAACGCGUGGGAACCUGCCCUUAGGUUCGGAAUAACUCCCCGAAAGGGGUGCUAAUACCGGAUAAUGUCUUCGGACCAAAGAUUUAUCGCCUUUGGAUGGGCCCGCGUUGGAUUAGCUAGUUGGUAGGGUAAAAGCCUACCAAGGCGACGAUCCAUAGCUGGUCUGAGAGGAUGAUCAGCCACACUGGGACUGAGACACGGCCCAGACUCCUACGGGAGGCAGCAGUGGGGAAUAUUGGACAAUGGGCGAAAGCCUGAUCCAGCAAUGCCGCGUGAGUGAUGAAGGCCUCAGGGUUGUAAAGCUCUUUUACCCGGGAUGAUAGUGACAGUACCGGGAGAAUAAGCUCCGGCUAACUCCGUG
This 433-nucleotide ribosomal RNA is filed under the name uncultured bacterium. Its description in RNAcentral is "partial 16S ribosomal RNA". It matches the Rfam family "Bacterial small subunit ribosomal RNA", at positions 29 to 507 of the family's 1533-position model. The record is from RNAcentral.